UGGGGAAUUUUGGACAAUGGGGGAAACCCUGAUCCAACCAUCCCGCGUGUGCGAUGAAGGCCUUCGGGUUGUAAAGCACUUUUGGCAGGAAAGAAACGUCAUGGGUUAAUACCCCGUGAAACUGACGGUACCUGCAGAAUAAGCACCGGCUAACUACGUGCCAGCAGCCGCGGUAAUACGUAGGGUGCAAGCGUUAAUCGGAAUUACUGGGCGUAAAGCGUGCGCAGGCGGUUCGGAAAGAAAGAUGUGAAAUCCCAGAGCUAAACUUUGGAACUGCAUUUUUAACUACCGGGCUAGAGUGUGUCAGAGGGAGGUGGAAUUCCGCGUGUAGCAGUGAAAUGCGUAGAUAUGCGGAGGAACACCGAUGGCGAAGGCAGCCUCCUGGGAUAACACUGACGCUCAUGCACGAAAGCGUGGGGAGCAAACAGG
RNAcentral lists this ribosomal RNA (429 nucleotides) under Acidobacteriota bacterium. Its description in RNAcentral is "Acidobacteria bacterium partial 16S ribosomal RNA". It matches the Rfam family "Bacterial small subunit ribosomal RNA", at positions 355 to 776 of the family's 1533-position model. Lineage: Bacteria; Pseudomonadati; Acidobacteriota. The record is from RNAcentral.